GAUGAACGCUGGCGGCGUGCCUAAUACAUGCAAGUCGAGCGGCAGCACGGUCUUCGGACUGGUGGCGAGCGGCGGACGGCUGAGUAACGCGUAGGAACAUGCCCUAAAGUGAGGAAUAACUGACCGAAAGGGUGGCUAAUGCCGCAUGUGCUCUUCGGAGUAAAGCUUUAUGCGCUUUAGGAGUGGCCUGCGGCCGAUUAGCUAGUUGGUGAGGUAAAUGCUCACCAAGGCGACGAUCGGUAGCUGGUCUGAGAGGAUGAUCAGCCAGACUGAAACUGAGAACGGUCCAGACUCCUACGGGAGGCAGCAGUAGGGAAUUUUCCACAAUGGGCGAGAGCCUGAUGGAGCAACGCCGCGUGCAGGAUGAAUGCCUUCGGGUUGUAAACUGCUUUUAUGUGCGAAGAAUUUGACGGUAACACAUGAAUAAGGAUCGGCUAACUACGUGCCAGCAGCCGCGGUAA
Molecule: ribosomal RNA, 461 nt
Filed under: uncultured bacterium
Lineage: Bacteria
Description: partial 16S ribosomal RNA
Rfam family: Bacterial small subunit ribosomal RNA
Source: RNAcentral